RNAcentral lists this ribosomal RNA (456 nucleotides) under uncultured bacterium. RNAcentral's name for it is "bacterial SSU rRNA". It matches the Rfam family "Bacterial small subunit ribosomal RNA", at positions 355 to 826 of the family's 1533-position model. The record is from RNAcentral.
UGGGGAAUCUUGGACAAUGGGGGCAACCCUGAUCCAGCCAUGCCGCGUGAGUGAUGAAGGCCUUAGGGUCGUAAAGCUCUUUCGCCUGUGAAGAUAAUGACGGUAGCAGGUAAAGAAACCCCGGCUAACUCCGUGCCAGCAGCCGCGGUAAUACGGAGGGGGUUAGCGUUGUUCGGAAUUACUGGGCGUAAAGCGCACGUAGGCGGACCAGAAAGUUGGGGGUGAAAUCCCGGGGGCUCAACCCCGGAACUGCCUCCAAAACUAUUGGUCUAGAGUUCGAGAGAGGUGAGUGGAAUUCCAAGUGUAGAGGUGAAAUUCGUAGAUAUUUGGAGGAACACCAGUGGCGAAGGCGGCUCACUGGCUCGAUACUGACGCUGAGGUGCGAAAGUGUGGGGAGCAAACAGGAUUAGAUACCCUGGUAGUCCACGCUGUAAAACGAUGGGUACUCGGUGUUGC